GGGUUGUGAGGUUAAGCGACUAAGCGUACACGGUGGAUGCCCUGGCAGUCAGAGGCGAUGAAGGACGUGCUAAUCUGCGAUAAGCGUCGGUAAGGUGAUAUGAACCGUUAUAACCGGCGAUUUCCGAAUGGGGAAACCCAGUGUGAUUCGUCACACUAUCAUUAACUGAAUCCAUAGGUUAAUGAGGCGAACCGGGGGAACUGAAACAUCUAAGUACCCCGAGGAAAAGAAAUCAACCGAGAUUCCCCCAGUAGCGGCGAGCGAACGGGGAGCAGCCCAGAGCCUGAAUCAGUGUGUGUGUUAGUGGAAGCGUCUGGAAAGGCGCGCGAUACAGGGUGACAGCCCCGUACACAAAAAUGCACAUGCUGUGAGCUCGAUGAGUAGGGCGGGACACGUGGUAUCCUGUCUGAAUAUGGGGGGACCAUCCUCCAAGGCUAAAUACUCCUGACUGACCGAUAGUGAACCAGUACCGUGAGGGAAAGGCGAAAAGAACCCCGGCGAGGGGAGUGAAAAAGAACCUGAAACCGUGUACGUACAAGCAGUGGGAGCCUCUUUAUGGGGUGACUGCGUACCUUUUGUAUAAUGGGUCAGCGACUUAUAUUCUGUAGCAAGGUUAACCGAAUAGGGGAGCCGAAGGGAAACCGAGUCUUAACUGGGCGUUAAGUUGCAGGGUAUAGACCCGAAACCCGGUGAUCUAGCCAUGGGCAGGUUGAAGGUUGGGUAACACUAACUGGAGGACCGAACCGACUAAUGUUGAAAAAUUAGCGGAUGACUUGUGGCUGGGGGUGAAAGGCCAAUCAAACCGGGAGAUAGCUGGUUCUCCCCGAAAGCUAUUUAGGUAGCGCCUCGUGAAUUCAUCUCCGGGGGUAGAGCACUGUUUCGGCAAGGGGGUCAUCCCGACUUACCAACCCGAUGCAAACUGCGAAUACCGGAGAAUGUUAUCACGGGAGACACACGGCGGGUGCUAACGUCCGUCGUGAAGAGGGAAACAACCCAGACCGCCAGCUAAGGUCCCAAAGUCAUGGUUAAGUGGGAAACGAUGUGGGAAGGCCCAGACAGCCAGGAUGUUGGCUUAGAAGCAGCCAUCAUUUAAAGAAAGCGUAAUAGCUCACUGGUCGAGUCGGCCUGCGCGGAAGAUGUAACGGGGCUAAACCAUGCACCGAAGCUGCGGCAGCGACACUAUGUGUUGUUGGGUAGGGGAGCGUUCUGUAAGCCUGUGAAGGUGUCCUGUGAGGUAUGCUGGAGGUAUCAGAAGUGCGAAUGCUGACAUAAGUAACGAUAAAGCGGGUGAAAAGCCCGCUCGCCGGAAGACCAAGGGUUCCUGUCCAACGUUAAUCGGGGCAGGGUGAGUCGACCCCUAAGGCGAGGCCGAAAGGCGUAGUCGAUGGGAAACAGGUUAAUAUUCCUGUACUUGGUGUUACUGCGAAGGGGGGACGGAGAAGGCUAUGUUGGCCGGGCGACGGUUGUCCCGGUUUAAGCGUGUAGGCUGGUUUUCCAGGCAAAUCCGGAAAAUCAAGGCUGAGGCGUGAUGACGAGGCACUACGGUGCUGAAGCAACAAAUGCCCUGCUUCCAGGAAAAGCCUCUAAGCAUCAGGUAACAUCAAAUCGUACCCCAAACCGACACAGGUGGUCAGGUAGAGAAUACCAAGGCGCUUGAGAGAACUCGGGUGAAGGAACUAGGCAAAAUGGUGCCGUAACUUCGGGAGAAGGCACGCUGAUACGUAGGUGAAGUCCCUCGCGGAUGGAGCUGAAAUCAGUCGAAGAUACCAGCUGGCUGCAACUGUUUAUUAAAAACACAGCACUGUGCAAACACGAAAGUGGACGUAUACGGUGUGACGCCUGCCCGGUGCCGGAAGGUUAAUUGAUGGGGUCAGCGCAAGCGAAGCUCUUGAUCGAAGCCCCGGUAAACGGCGGCCGUAACUAUAACGGUCCUAAGGUAGCGAAAUUCCUUGUCGGGUAAGUUCCGACCUGCACGAAUGGCGUAAUGAUGGCCAGGCUGUCUCCACCCGAGACUCAGUGAAAUUGAACUCGCUGUGAAGAUGCAGUGUACCCGCGGCAAGACGGAAAGACCCCGUGAACCUUUACUAUAGCUUGACACUGAACAUUGAGCCUUGAUGUGUAGGAUAGGUGGGAGGCUUUGAAGUGUGGACGCCAGUCUGCAUGGAGCCGACCUUGAAAUACCACCCUUUAAUGUUUGAUGUUCUAACGUGGACCCGUAAUCCGGGUUGCGGACAGUGUCUGGUGGGUAGUUUGACUGGGGCGGUCUCCUCCUAAAGAGUAACGGAGGAGCACGAAGGUUGGCUAAUCCUGGUCGGACAUCAGGAGGUUAGUGCAAUGGCAUAAGCCAGCUUGACUGCGAGCGUGACGGCGCGAGCAGGUGCGAAAGCAGGUCAUAGUGAUCCGGUGGUUCUGAAUGGAAGGGCCAUCGCUCAACGGAUAAAAGGUACUCCGGGGAUAACAGGCUGAUACCGCCCAAGAGUUCAUAUCGACGGCGGUGUUUGGCACCUCGAUGUCGGCUCAUCACAUCCUGGGGCUGAAGUAGGUCCCAAGGGUAUGGCUGUUCGCCAUUUAAAGUGGUACGCGAGCUGGGUUUAGAACGUCGUGAGACAGUUCGGUCCCUAUCUGCCGUGGGCGCUGGAGAACUGAGGGGGGCUGCUCCUAGUACGAGAGGACCGGAGUGGACGCAUCACUGGUGUUCGGGUUGUCAUGCCAAUGGCACUGCCCGGUAGCUAAAUGCGGAAGAGAUAAGUGCUGAAAGCAUCUAAGCACGAAACUUGCCCCGAGAUGAGUUCUCCCUGAGACUUUAAGUCUCCUGAAGGAACGUUGAAGACGACGACGUUGAUAGGCCGGGUGUGUAAGCGCAGCGAUGCGUUGAGCUAACCGGUACUAAUGAACCGUGAGGCUUAACCUUACAACGCCGAAG
RNAcentral lists this ribosomal RNA (2923 nucleotides) under Escherichia sp. E10V10. Its description in RNAcentral is "23S ribosomal RNA". It matches the Rfam family "Bacterial large subunit ribosomal RNA". The record is from RNAcentral. Lineage: Bacteria; Pseudomonadati; Pseudomonadota; Gammaproteobacteria; Enterobacterales; Enterobacteriaceae.